This 639-nucleotide ribosomal RNA is filed under the name Pleurotus populinus. Its description in RNAcentral is "LSU rRNA". It matches the Rfam family "Eukaryotic large subunit ribosomal RNA", at positions 36 to 677 of the family's 3401-position model. Lineage: Eukaryota; Fungi; Basidiomycota; Agaricomycetes; Agaricales; Pleurotaceae. The record is from RNAcentral.
UGGCAUAUCCAAAAAGCGGAGGAAAAGAAACUAACAAGGAUUCCCCUAGUAACUGCGAGUGAAGCGGGAAAAGCUCAAAUUUAAAAUCUGGUGGUCUUUGGCCAUCCGAGUUGUAAUCUAGAGAAGUGUUAUCCGCGCUGGACCGUGUACAAGUCCCCUGGAAUGGGGCGUCAUAGAGGGUGAGAAUCCCGUCUUUGACACGGACUACCAGGGCUUUGUGAUGCACUCUCAAAGAGUCGAGUUGUUUGGGAAUGCAGCUCAAAAUGGGUGGUAAAUUCCAUCUAAAGCUAAAUAUUGGCGAGAGACCGAUAGCGAACAAGUACCGUGAGGGAAAGAUGAAAAGAACUUUGGAAAGAGAGUUAAACAGUACGUGAAAUUGUUGAAAGGGAAACGCUUGAAGUCAGUCGCGUCUGCCAGGGAUCAACCUUACUUUUGUGAGGCGUACUUCCUGGUUGAUGGGUCAGCAUCAGUUUUGGUCGCUGGAUAAAGGUCAGAGAAAUGUGGCACCCUCGGGUGUGUUAUAGUCUUUGAUCAGAUACAGUGGCUGGGACUGAGGAACUCAGCGCCGCAAGGCUGUCUUAGGAUGCUGGCAAAAUGGCUUUAAUCGACCCGUCUUGAAACACGGCAAAAAGGAGUCAA